CGAACGGGUGAGUAAUGUGUGACCAACCUGCCCCAUGCUCCAGAAUAGCUCUUGGAAACGGGUGGUAAUGCUGGAUGCUCCAACUUGACGCAUGUCUUGUUGGGAAAGUGUUUAGUGGCAUGGGAUGGGGUCGCGUCCUAUCAGCUUGUAGGCGGGGUAAUGGCCCACCUAGGCUUCGACGGGUAGCCGGCCUGAGAGGGCGGACGGCCACAUUGGGACUGAGAUACGGCCCAGACUCCUACGGGAGGCAGCAGCU
RNAcentral lists this ribosomal RNA (256 nucleotides) under uncultured Gardnerella sp. Its description in RNAcentral is "partial 16S ribosomal RNA". It matches the Rfam family "Bacterial small subunit ribosomal RNA", at positions 99 to 355 of the family's 1533-position model. The record is from RNAcentral. Lineage: Bacteria; Bacillati; Actinomycetota; Actinomycetes; Bifidobacteriales; Bifidobacteriaceae.